Molecule: long non-coding RNA, 346 nt
Organism: Suricata suricatta (meerkat)
Lineage: Eukaryota; Metazoa; Chordata; Mammalia; Carnivora; Herpestidae
Exons: 3
Source: RefSeq, a predicted model, not a curated record
UGGACUGGAGACACUUAAUACCUACUUGUAGGCUAUUUUGAGGAUGAGAGAUUACGCGUGCCUGGUGCCUACCGGAGCUUAGUACACAGCACGGAAGUGGCUGGUGGCUUUUUUGUAAUUAAAAACAGCAAGGUUUUAGAGAAUGAACUGCAGUCCGUUCUUACAGGUGCUCAAGGCGACAUAUACAAGGAGGUGCACUGUGGCAGUGUUGAAACAGUGGAAACAAUCAACUGUCUCUCUUGGUUGAGAUGCUAGAAUCUAAUCAGGCAAGAAGUUAGCAUCUGUUUCAUGUGGGCGAGUGGGUACAGAAGUCUAUCAUAUUAUUUUCUGUAAUGUUUUUGUGUUU